GAUGAACGCUAGCUACAGGCUUAACACAUGCAAGUCGAGGGGUAACGAGAGGAAAGCUUGCUUUCCUUGUCGACGACCGGCGCACGGGUGAGUAACGCGUAUCCAACCUGCCCCCAACUAGGGAAUAACCUUGCGAAAGUAAGACUAAUACCCUAUAAUUUCCUCAGAUGUCAUCUGACGAGGAAUAAAGAUUUAUCGGUUGUGGAUGGGGAUGCGUCUGAUUAGCUUGUUGGCGGGGUAACGGCCCACCAAGGCAACGAUCAGUAGGGGUUCUGAGAGGAAGGUCCCCCACAUUGGAACUGAGACCCGGGCCAAACUCCUACGGGAGGCAGCAGUGAGGAAUAUUGGUCAAUGGGCGGAAGCCUGAACCAGCCAAGUAGCGUGCAGGAUGACGGCCCUAUGGGUUGUAAACUGCUUUUAUACAGGAAUAAAGUUAGCCACGUGUGGUUAUUUGUAGGUACUGUAUGAAUAAGGACCGGCUAAUUCCGUGCCAGCCGCCGCAGUAA
RNAcentral lists this ribosomal RNA (506 nucleotides) under uncultured bacterium. Its description in RNAcentral is "partial 16S ribosomal RNA". It matches the Rfam family "Bacterial small subunit ribosomal RNA", at positions 28 to 523 of the family's 1533-position model. The record is from RNAcentral.